UAAACACUUCAACACCUGAAACGCUUAUAUCCGUUUUGAUUGUAUGCAUACCUGAGCCCAUCUGCGUUCCCAUUUUUCCCCUCAACAGAUCCCCAAAAUCUAUCUCCUAAACCCGUUUUUUUUUUUCAUCGGAACCCUCUACGAUCAUCGAUUAUUUCGGGCUCUUUUUUAGUGUUUAUUAUUGUGAUUGACACCUGAGAAUAAACUAUAAAGGUUCAUUUCUCUAUUUCUUUUAUUUGUUUGCUUUGAUUUUUCUCCUCCGCAGUCAAUCUACUAAUUGUGGGGGAGGAGAGAUGGUUUGUAUGAUUCUAUAAAAUCAAAGUUUUCUGAACAAACAGCUAGGGUUUCAGGUAUGGGAUUUGAUGGAUGAAUCAUGCCGGAACUGCGUAGCGGAGUGCGCAGGGGCCGGGCAGCGCAGCCAAAUCCAAUCGGGGGCGAGGGGGUGAUUGCCAAAGGUAGAAAAAGGCGAACAGCAAAGAACAAGCAGGCGAUCGAUAAGAAUAUUGUAAAGGCUUCUGUUCCGACUGCAUCUUUACAGGCUAAGGAAGAGGGGAAGGUUCUUGAAGAAGGCGGGGUCGCCCGAGGUCUAGCCGGUGAUCUUGGUGGGUUGGUUGGGGCCAAGGAGGAAGAGGUAGGGGAGAAGCAGAUGGACGAUUUCGAUAGCGGAGCCAGGAGCGCUGAUAAGGCUCCCGGUGCUGAAGAUGAAGCAAGCACCGCUCCCCUUCCUGAAAAGGUCCAAGUAGGUGGUUCCCCAGUGUACAGAAUAGAAAGAAAGUUGGGCAAGGGAGGCUUUGGACAAGUGUAUGUUGGUCGUCGUGUUUCUGGUACCAAUGUAAAUGAUAGAACUACUGGACAAGGAGCUGCUGAGGUGGCGUUGAAGUUUGAGCACAGAAGUAGCAAGGGAUGUAAUUAUGGACCACCUUACGAGUGGCAAGUCUACAAUACCCUUGGUGGUAGUCAUGGUGUGCCACGAGUACAUUACAAAGGCCGGCAAGGUGAUUAUUAUGUCAUGGUUAUGGAUAUGCUGGGACCAAGUUUAUGGGAUGUUUGGAAUAACAAUUCUCACACAAUGUCCAUUGAAAUGGUUGCAUGUAUUGCAAUUGAAGCAAUAUCAAUAUUGGAGAAGAUGCAUUCUAGAGGCUAUGUUCAUGGGGACGUAAAACCUGAGAACUUUUUGCUUGGUCUACCUGGAACUCCUGAGGAGAAAAAGCUGUUCCUUGUUGAUCUUGGAUUAGCCACUAGAUGGCGGGACAGUUCAACCAGUCAGCAUGUUGAGUAUGAUCAACGACCAGAUGUUUUUAGGGGAACAGUGCGGUAUGCUAGUGUGCAUGCUCAUCUAGGAAGAACUGCAAGCAGGAGAGAUGACUUAGAAUCACUUGCUUAUACUCUUAUUUUCUUGCUUCGUGGUCGUUUACCUUGGCAAGGAUACCAGGGGGAGAAUAAAGGGUUUCUUGUAUGCAAGAAAAAGAUGGCAACGUCUCCAGAGACACUUUGUUGUUUUUGUCCACAGCCUUUCAGACAAUUUGUUGAGCAUGUAGUGAAUUUGAAAUUUGAUGAGGAACCAAACUAUGCAAAAUAUAUUUCCCUCUUCGAUGGGAUUGUUGGUCCAAAUCCAGAUAUCAGGCCAAUUAACACAGAUGGUGCACAGAAGCUUAUCUAUCAGGUUGGUCAUAAGAGAGGGCGAUUAACAAUGGAGGAAGAGGAUGAUGAGCAACCAAAGAAGAAGGUUCGCAUGGGGAUGCCUGCAACACAAUGGAUUAGUGUCUAUAAUGCUAGGCGGCCUAUGAAACAACGGUAUCACUAUAAUGUGGCAGAUGCAAGGCUUGCACAACACAUUGAUAAAGGAAAUCAAGAUGGUCUAUUUAUCAGCAGUGUUGCAUCUUGUUCAAAUCUAUGGGCCUUGAUUAUGGAUGCAGGCACUGGAUUUGUUUCUCAAGUUUAUGAACUCUCAUCCUUUUUUCUUCACAAGGAAUGGAUUAUGGAGCAGUGGGAGAAGAAUUAUUACAUUAGUGCAAUAGCAGGAGCUAACAAUGGAAGCUCUUUGGUAGUAAUGUCUAAAGGUACACAGUAUGCACAGCAGUCCUACAAAGUUAGUGAUUCAUUCCCUUUCAAAUGGAUAAACAAAAAAUGGAGAGAAGGUUUCUAUGUCACCUCCAUGGCUACUGCAGGUAGUAGAUGGGCAGUCGUAAUGUCUCGUAGUGCAGGAUUUUCAGACCAGGUUGUUGAGCUAGAUUUUCUGUAUCCUAGUGAAGGAAUCCAUCGGAGGUGGGAUAGUGGUUAUCGUAUCACAGCAACUGCAGCAACUUGGGACCAGGCUGCCUUUGUUCUUAGUGUGCCCAGAAGAAAGCCUGCUGAUGAAACACAAGAGACACUCCGGACUUCUGCUUUUCCUAGUACACAUGUCAAGGAGAAAUGGGCUAAAAAUCUGUACAUUGCAUCUGUGUGCUAUGGUCGAACAGUUUCAUGAGCUUCUCAAUCUCGUUUUUCUUAGUUUAGAUGCUUGCUGACAAUUUUGAAGAUACUACUCAUCUUGCUCGCCUGCUCUUAUCAUGUUGUCACUGUGCUGCGGAAGUGUGAAAUUUGUCAUUUCCUGAAGGCAAACUUCUCAUUGUGACAUCACGUCAUCACCAGGCUAGAAAUUUUGAUAGUGUCAGGUGAAAUCAUCACAAGGUCUUCUUUGCCAUUUGAAGUUUGUGAGUAUUCACUCUUUCUUUCCUUUUUUUAAUAUUGAUUGAUAGUGUCCAACUCUGUAGUGAUGUGUUCUUCUGAAUUGCUGUAGUAGUUUGUGGUUCAGCUAGAUCCAGUCUAACAUUCUAGUUUUUUUUUCCCCAGGGCCAGAGCUUUUAUUGAUAGAGGCACUUAGAUGGGAGGCAACAACAUCAAUGACUCCCAAUAACAUAAACAAUGCAUGUGUACGAGGAGUUGGAUGACGGAGAAAAUGCUGGUGACUCUACCCUACAAGUUAGGCCAUUAGAAGAGGGUUGCUCUGCCUAAGGAAGGAGCUCAUUGGAGAAAAGGAAGUCAUAUGCUAGCAUCGUUUCUAGUGAAUAUGUAUACAAAAUAUUUUAGGGUGUAUACAACCUCGGGGAUGACAAUCCGGAAUUCCUCUUCAAGGCCAUAGAUUUUUUGUCUCAGUCAGAGAAUAGGGCAAUAGCGUUUUAUGCCCUCAAGCUUAAAUUGAAGAAAGCAUAGCUGAAUAUGAAACUUGCAUCUGAAUACUACAUUGGACUUAACUUUCUAGUUAGACUUUGAUAGACGCAUGAACUGAUUAGAUAUCCAUUGCAUCAUUUUGUUCUCGUCCUCUUGGGAUGCAUUGGAUGUUUGUUUUGAUAUAGUAUAUAAACAAAUACACAGUGAUGGUGAUACAAACAUAUACAUGGACACAUAAUAUUGUGAUUGGUUUGA
Nelumbo nucifera (sacred lotus) is the source of this 3405-nucleotide non-coding RNA. Lineage: Eukaryota; Viridiplantae; Streptophyta; Magnoliopsida; Proteales; Nelumbonaceae. The record is from RefSeq and is a predicted model, not a curated record.